This 699-nucleotide ribosomal RNA is filed under the name uncultured bacterium. RNAcentral's name for it is "bacterial SSU rRNA". It matches the Rfam family "Bacterial small subunit ribosomal RNA", at positions 32 to 715 of the family's 1533-position model. The record is from RNAcentral.
AACGCUAGCUACAGGCUUAACACAUGCAAGUCGAGGGGCAGCGGGGGCGAAAGCUUGCUUUCGCCUGCCGGCGACCGGCGCACGGGUGAGUAACACGUAUGCAACCUGCCCGCAGCAGGGGGAUAAGCCGGAGAAAUCCGGUCUAAUACCGCGUAACACCCUGAGGGGACAUCCUCUUGGGGUCAAAGGAGCAAUCCGGCUGCGGAUGGGCAUGCGUCGCAUUAGGCAGUUGGCGGGGUAACGGCCCACCAAACCGACGAUGCGUAGGGGUUCUGAGAGGAAGGUCCCCCACACUGGUACUGAGACACGGACCAGACUCCUACGGGAGGCAGCAGUGAGGAAUAUUGGUCAAUGGGCGGAAGCCUGAACUAGCCAAGUCGCGUGAGGGAAGACGGUCCUAUGGAUUGUAAACCUCUUUUGCCGGGGAGCAAGCCGGGUCUGCGGACCCGUGUUGAGAGUACCCGGAGAAAAAGCAUCGGCUAACUCCGUGCCAGCAGCCGCGGUAAUACGGAAGGUCCGGGCGUUAUCCGGAUUUAUUGGGUUUAAAGGGAGCGCAGGCGGUCUUAUAAGCGUGACGUGAAAUGCAGCGGCUCAACCGUAUGAUGUGCGUCGCGAACUGUGAGACUUGAGUGUAUUCGAUGUCAGCGGAAUUUGUGGUGUAGCGGUGAAAUGCUUAGAUAUCACGAAGAACUCCGAUUG